RNAcentral lists this small RNA (334 nucleotides) under Caenorhabditis briggsae. RNAcentral describes it as "sRNA CBG26154". The record is from RNAcentral. Lineage: Eukaryota; Metazoa; Nematoda; Chromadorea; Rhabditida; Rhabditidae.
CGUUUCUCUGUCUCACAAUGAUUCACAUGCCAAUCCACGCUACAUUCGACACUACCACCUAUGAGCUCCGACGUCUUCGCCUCCUGACUCCAAGGAAAUCCUAACUCUUCCCGAACAACCAAACUACUGUAUCUACCUCUGUACAUAUUUCUAUACAUAUAUUUUGGUUCGUAGCUGCAAAACUAGAUGAUGUUCAUACAAUGAUGCUACGAGUUCUGAAGCAACGGGUCCUUCUGGAUGUCUCAAUCUCGAUCUCAAUCUGCUUCCAUUUUACGAGAAGAGGAUAUCUCAACUUCAAACUUCACGGGUUCUCAUAAUUUGUUGAUAUUUUGUU